This 383-nucleotide ribosomal RNA is filed under the name Coryssocnemis simla. Its description in RNAcentral is "partial 16S ribosomal RNA". The record is from RNAcentral. Lineage: Eukaryota; Metazoa; Arthropoda; Arachnida; Araneae; Pholcidae.
GGUAGCAUAAUCAUUAGCUUUAUAAUUAAAAGAUAGUAUGAAAGGUUAAACGAAAUAUUAUAUUUUUAAAACAUAAUUAAAUAUAAAAUUAAAAUAAAAGUAAAAACACUCUUAAAAAUAAGAAAGACGAUAAGACCCUAAUAAACUUAAUAUUAUUUAACUAGGGUGGUUGAUUAAUAAUAUCUUAAUUCAAAUAAUAAAAACUAAAAUAAAUCUAAUUAAAAUAGAAAUAGUUACUAUAGGGAUAACAGCGUAAUAUUUUUCUAAAGCUCUCAUAAAAAAAAAUGUUUACGACCUCGAUGUUGAAUUAAUAAUCUAAUUUUAAAAGAAAAAUUUUCUAAAAGAAGGUCUGUUCGACCUAUAAAAAAUUACGUGAUCUGAGU